AUCUAGCUGACGAGUCCGAAAUAGGACAAGACCUGCGUUUUAGAU
RNAcentral lists this non-coding RNA (45 nucleotides) under Trichobilharzia regenti. The record is from RNAcentral. Lineage: Eukaryota; Metazoa; Platyhelminthes; Trematoda; Strigeidida; Schistosomatidae.